This 295-nucleotide long non-coding RNA is filed under the name Olea europaea (common olive). RNAcentral's name for it is "long non-coding RNA (OEUR_LNC011942)". The record is from RNAcentral. Lineage: Eukaryota; Viridiplantae; Streptophyta; Magnoliopsida; Lamiales; Oleaceae.
GGCUAUCCCCCUAGAGGCUACUCCCGAGGCCCAGGUUAAUAUGGUUUUUGAGUAUCCCGACGAACCCUGUAUGCUUAAAGAGCACUCAGUCAUAGCUGCAGCUAGGGAAUAUGGUAUAAUGCCUAAUUGCGAUGUUAGAUUUCCUGACCCCGAGGAUAGGAUUAUUCGAGCACGACGAGGGGAGUUUGUUAUUUUUAGGGAGACCCUUAAGGCUGGCUUUAGGUGGCCCCUUCACCCCUUCUUUAUUGCUCUAUUAGUCGAGCACUCCAUGUGCCCGGGGCAGUUAGUUCCCAAC